Molecule: long non-coding RNA, 516 nt
Filed under: Ursus americanus (American black bear)
Lineage: Eukaryota; Metazoa; Chordata; Mammalia; Carnivora; Ursidae
Description: lncRNA (ENSUAMG00000010141.1)
Source: RNAcentral
CCUUCCUUCUCNUUAGUCGACACUAAGGGGGCCCCUCACAGUAAUUAGCAGGAGUGGGAGUUCUGGCUGCCUACAGACCUUCUUCCUCUUACACCUCUCUGGUCGGUUGCCGCCUAGAGCGGGAGACCUCACGAAGCAUGGGCCGAAUACCCAGUCCUCACCAGCAGAGAGUAGUGGGCAGGAAUCGGGAUUUCGGGCCCUGCCGCUGACCCUCCGUGUGACCACGGUGUGCAUUUCCCAGACAUUUCCUGAGUGGCGUUCUCUGACAGCCACGGAGCCAAAUACAGAGGACAUAAAGGAGAUGGGGACAUAGUCCUUGCCCUCGUGAGCCUUGGCACUCACCGCACGAACUCCUGGAAUCUGGAGAGAGAGCUGGAGAGCACAAGCAGGGGGCGUGGCAGAGGGAGAGGGAGAAGCAGGCUCCAUGCUGAGCAGGGAGCCUGAUGUGGGGCUCGAUCCCAGGACCCUGAGAUCACGGCCUGAGCCAGCAUUUCUCCUGGCCCCAAACAGAAGCUC